RNAcentral lists this ribosomal RNA (440 nucleotides) under uncultured bacterium. Its description in RNAcentral is "partial 16S ribosomal RNA". It matches the Rfam family "Bacterial small subunit ribosomal RNA", at positions 338 to 795 of the family's 1533-position model. The record is from RNAcentral.
CCUACGGGAGACUGCAGUGGGGAAUAUUGCACAAUGGGGGAAACCCUGAUGCAGCGACGCCGCGUGAGUGAAGAAGGAAUUCGUGAUGUAAAGCUCUAUCAGCAGGGAAGAAAAUGACGGUACCUGAGUAAGAAGCCCCGGCUAACUACGUGCCAGCAGCCGCGGUAAUACGUAGGGGGCAAGCGUUAUCCGGAUUUACUGGGUGUAAAGGGAGCGGAGACGGCAGGGCAAGUCUGGAGGGAAAGGCGGGGGCUCAACCCCCGGACUGCUCUGGAAACUGUCCGGCUGGAGGGCAGGAGAGGUAAGUGGAAUUCCUAGUGUAGCGGUGAACUGCGUAGAUCUUAGGCGGAACACCAGUGGCGCAGGCGGCUUACUGGACUGUACCUGCCGUUGAGGCUCGAACGCGUGGGGAGCACACCGGAUUAGCUACCCCAGUAGUC